CCUACGGGAGGCAGCAGUGAGGAAUAUUGGUCAAUGGGCGCGAGCCUGAACCAGCCAAGCCGCGUGAAGGAUGAAGGAUCUAUGGUUUGUAAACUUCUUUUAUAUGGGAAUAAAGUGCGGAACGUGUUCCUUUUUGUAUGUACCAUAUGAAUAAGCAUCGGCUAACUCCGUGCCAGCAGCCGCGGUAAUACGGUGGAUGCGAGCGUUAUCCGGAUUUAUUGGGUUUAAAGGGUGCGUAGGUGGUUAAUUAAGUCAGCGGUGAAAGUUUCAGGCUCAACCAUAAAAUUGCCGUUGAAACUGGUCGACUAGAGUAUAUUUGAGGGAGGCAGAAUGCGUGGUGUAGCGGUGAAAUGCAUAGAGAUCACGCAGAACUCCGAUUGCGAAGGCAGCUUACUAAACUAUAACUGACACUGAGGCACGAAAGCGUGGGGAUCAAACAGGAUUAGAUACCCUUGUAGUC
RNAcentral lists this ribosomal RNA (460 nucleotides) under uncultured bacterium. Its description in RNAcentral is "partial 16S ribosomal RNA". It matches the Rfam family "Bacterial small subunit ribosomal RNA", at positions 338 to 795 of the family's 1533-position model. The record is from RNAcentral.